Molecule: non-coding RNA, 232 nt
Organism: Pelobates cultripes (western spadefoot toad)
Lineage: Eukaryota; Metazoa; Chordata; Amphibia; Anura; Pelobatidae
Source: the annotation of a GenBank genome assembly
GCUGCAUUUACCAAUUUAAUCUAAACACUCGUUAUCACUGCUGUAUUUAACCAAUUUAAUCUAAACAUUAACCAAAACAAUUACAUUCCUAUUUACCACCCUUCUAUUUAAACAUGUAUAGAUAACCCAAAAUGCCUACUUUCUCUUAUCAUUCUUAUAAUUUUUUUGUUUUUUUGAACUGCAACCACUCAUGCACUUUACACAGACACAAAUCAAGCACCUACUGGACAAU